Molecule: ribosomal RNA, 252 nt
Filed under: uncultured bacterium
Lineage: Bacteria
Description: partial 16S ribosomal RNA
Rfam family: Bacterial small subunit ribosomal RNA
Source: RNAcentral
UACGGAGGAUGCGAGCGUUAUCCGGAUUUAUUGGGUUUAAAGGGUGCGUAGGCGGGAUGCCAAGUCAGCGGUAAAAAUGCGGUGCUCAACGCCGUCGAGCCGUUGAAACUGGCGUUCUUGAGUGGGCGAGAAGUAUGCGGAAUGCGUGGUGUAGCGGUGAAAUGCAUAGAUAUCACGCAGAACUCCGAUUGCGGAGGCAGCAUACCGGCGCCCUACUGACGCUGAGGCACGAAAGCGUGGGUAUCGAACAGG